AUUGAACGCUGGCGGCAUGCCUUACACAUGCAAGUCGAACGGCAGCACGGGAGCAAUCCUGGUGGCGAGUGGCGAACGGGUGAGUAAAGUAUCGGAACGUGCCCAGUCGUGGGGGAUAACGUAGCGAAAGUUACGCUAAUACCGCAUACGAUCUAUGGAUGAAAGCGGGGGAUCGCAAGACCUCGCGCGAUUGGAGCGGCCGCUAUCAGAUUAGGUAGUUGGUGGGGUAAAGGCUCACCAAGCCGACGAUCUGUAGCUGGUCUGAGAGGACGACCAGCCACACUGGGACUGAGACACGGCCCAGACUCCUACGGGAGGCAGCAGUGGGGAAUUUUGGACAAUGGGCGAAAGCCUGAUCCAGCCAUGCCGCGUGCAGGAUGAAGGCCUUCGGGUUGUAAACUGCUUUUGUACGGAACGAAAAGGUUUGGCCUAAUAAGCUGAGCUCAUGACGGUACCGUAAGAAUAAGCACCGGCUAACUACGUGCCAGCAGCUGCCGUAA
Molecule: ribosomal RNA, 500 nt
Filed under: uncultured bacterium
Lineage: Bacteria
Description: partial 16S ribosomal RNA
Rfam family: Bacterial small subunit ribosomal RNA
Source: RNAcentral